This 465-nucleotide ribosomal RNA is filed under the name uncultured bacterium. RNAcentral's name for it is "partial 16S ribosomal RNA". It matches the Rfam family "Bacterial small subunit ribosomal RNA", at positions 28 to 507 of the family's 1533-position model. The record is from RNAcentral.
GACGAACGCUGGCGGCGUGCUUAACACAUGCAAGUCGAACGGAAAGGCCCCUUUGGGGGUACUCGAGUGGCGAACGGGUGAGUAACACGUGAGUAACCUGCCCUUGACUUCGGGAUAACUUCAGGAAACUGGGGCUAAUACCGGAUAGGAAUCCUUGCUGCAUGGUGGGGGUUGGAAAGCUUCGGCGGUUUUGGAUGGACUCGCGGCUUAUCAGCUUGUUGGUGGGGUAGUGGCUUACCAAGGCUUUGACGGGUAGCCGGCCUGAGAGGGCGACCGGCCACAUUGGGACUGAGAUGCGGCCCAGACGCCUACGGGAGGCAGCAGUGGGGAAUAUUGCACAAUGGGCGGAAGCCGGAUGCAGCAACGCCGCGUGCGGGAUGACGGCCUUCGGGUUGUAAACCGCUUUCAGCAGGGGCGAAGCUUGUGGUGACGGUACCUGCAGAAGAAGCACCGGCUAACUACGUG